GACGAACGCUGGCGGCGUGCCUAACACAUGCAAGUCGAACGGGGUCUACAGAGAAGCUUGCUUUUUUGUAAACCUAGUGGCGGACGGGUGAGUAACGCGUGGAUAACCUGCCUGUAAGACCGGGAUAACACCGGGAAACCGGUGCUAAUACCGGACGUGCUGUAAAGGGGGCAUCCCCUUUACAGGGAAGGGACGUAAGUCUGCUUACAGAUGGGUCCGCGUCCCAUUAGCUAGCUGGUGGGGUAACGGCCUACCAGGGCGACGAUGGGUAGCCGGCCUGAGAGGGUGGACGGCCACACUGGGACUGAGACACGGCCCAGACUCCUACGGGAGGCAGCAGUAGGGAAUUUUCCGCAAUGGGCGAAAGCCUGACGGAGCAACGCCGCGUGAGGGAGGAAGGCCUUCGGGUCGUAAACCUUUGUCAUCGAGGACGAUAAUGACGGUACUCGAGGAGGAAGCCCCGGCUAACUACGUGCCAGCAGCCGCGGUAACAC
RNAcentral lists this ribosomal RNA (494 nucleotides) under uncultured bacterium. Its description in RNAcentral is "bacterial SSU rRNA". It matches the Rfam family "Bacterial small subunit ribosomal RNA", at positions 28 to 526 of the family's 1533-position model. The record is from RNAcentral.